UUAAGUUCAGCGGGUAUCCCUACCCGAUCCGAGGUCAACCUUGGGUAAAUAAGGCUUUUAACGGCCGGAACCCGCAGCACGCCCUGAGCGAGAUGUAUUACUGCGCUCGGUGUGACUAGCGAGCCCGCCACUGGUUUCAGGGCCUGCGGGCAGCCGCAGGACCCCAACACAAGCAGGGCUUGAUGGUUGAAAUGACGCUC
RNAcentral lists this unclassified non-coding RNA (200 nucleotides) under Chaetomium sp. RNAcentral describes it as "partial internal transcribed spacer 2". The record is from RNAcentral. Lineage: Eukaryota; Fungi; Ascomycota; Sordariomycetes; Sordariales; Chaetomiaceae.